Molecule: unclassified non-coding RNA, 213 nt
Filed under: Hevea brasiliensis (rubber tree)
Lineage: Eukaryota; Viridiplantae; Streptophyta; Magnoliopsida; Malpighiales; Euphorbiaceae
Source: RNAcentral
AGGCGCUCAAGAACAACUCAAAAAUUAAUAUCGAAGAGAGAGAUGAGCCAUAGAAACACCAUUCUUUGAGCCAAGGCAAUUACUGAGGAAAAAAGAAGAAACCAAAUAGAAAUCAGAUUGCCCCGGCUUUUGCUACAGUUUGAAUGCUAAGGCAAUUAUAAGGGCGAUCCAAGAAAAGAACUCCAAAUGAACACAAUCACAAAAAGCAAAGAG